Molecule: ribosomal RNA, 468 nt
Filed under: uncultured bacterium
Lineage: Bacteria
Description: partial 16S ribosomal RNA
Rfam family: Bacterial small subunit ribosomal RNA
Source: RNAcentral
GACGAACGCUGGCGGCGUGCUUAACACAUGCAAGUCGAACGGAAAGGCCCUGCUUUUGUGGGGUGCUCGAGUGGCGAACGGGUGAGUAACACGUGAGUAACCUGCCCUUGACUUUGGGAUAACUUCAGGAAACUGGGGCUAAUACCGGAUAGGAGCUCCUGCUGCAUGGUGGGGGUUGGAAAGUUUCGGCGGUUGGGGAUGGACUCGCGGCUUAUCAGCUUGUUGGUGGGGUAGUGGCUUACCAAGGCUUUGACGGGUAGCCGGCCUGACAGGGUGACCGGCCACAUUGGGACUGAGAUACGGCCCAGACUCCUACGGGAGGCAGCAGUGGGGAAUAUUGCACAAUGGGCGGAAGCCUGAUGCAGCAACUCCGCGUGCGGGAUGACGGCCUUCGGGUUGUAAACCGCUUUCGCCUGUGACGAAGCGUGAGUGACGGUAAUGGGUAAAGAAGCACCGGCUAACUACGUG